Molecule: ribosomal RNA, 474 nt
Filed under: uncultured bacterium
Lineage: Bacteria
Description: SSU rRNA
Rfam family: Bacterial small subunit ribosomal RNA
Source: RNAcentral
AGGACGAACGCUGGCGGCGUGCUUAACACAUGCAAGUCGAGCGGAAAGGCCCUUCGGGGUACUCGAGCGGCGAACGGGUGAGUAACACGUGAGCAACCUGCCCUUAGCUUCGGGAUAGCUCCGGGAAACCGGAAUUAAUACCGGAUAUGACUAUGGCCGACAUCAGCCAUGGUGGAAAGUUUUUCGGCUAGGGAUGGACUCGCGGCCUAUCAGCUAGUUGGUGAGGUAACGGCUCACCAAGGCGACGACGGGUAGCCGGCCUGAGAGGGCGACCGGCCACACUGGGACUGAGACACGGCCCAGACUCCUACGGGAGGCAGCAGUGGGGAAUAUUGCGCAAUGGGCGAAAAGCCUGACGCAGCGACGCCGCGUGGGGGAUGGAAUGCCUUCGGGUUGUAAACCCUUUCAGCAGGACGAAGCGAAAGUGACGGUACCUGCAGAAGAAGCGCCGGCUAACUACGUGCCAGCAGCCGC